GGACUACCCGGGUUUCUAAUCCCGUUCGCUCCCCUGGCUUUCGCGCCUCAGCGUCAGUAGAGGUCCAGCACGUCGCUUUCGCCACCGGCGUUCCUUCCGAUAUCAACGCAUUUCACCGCUCCACCGGAAGUUCCACAUGCCCCUACCUCCCUCCAGACCGUCAGUAUCCAAGGCAGUUUUCCGGUUAAGCCGAAAGAUUUCACCCCGGACUUGACAGUCCGCCUACGCGCCCUUUAAGCCCAGUGAUUCCGAACAACGUUUGCACGGUUCGUCUUACCGCGGCGGCUGGCAC
RNAcentral lists this ribosomal RNA (292 nucleotides) under uncultured bacterium. RNAcentral's name for it is "partial 16S ribosomal RNA". The record is from RNAcentral. RNAcentral also lists the same sequence under 2 other names.